CGGAGAUCGACGAUGGGCAGAUGGUGCGCUAACCCGGCCAGGUCCGGAAGGAAGCAGCCGUAACGAUUACCUUUCUGGGUCAUUGGCCGGUCUCCACCU
RNAcentral lists this signal recognition particle RNA (99 nucleotides) under Alphaproteobacteria bacterium. RNAcentral describes it as "signal recognition particle sRNA small type". It matches the Rfam family "Bacterial small signal recognition particle RNA". From Rfam's summary of the family: The signal recognition particle (SRP) is a universally conserved ribonucleoprotein involved in the co-translational targeting of proteins to membranes. The record is from RNAcentral. Lineage: Bacteria; Pseudomonadati; Pseudomonadota; Alphaproteobacteria.